GAUGAACGCUGGCGGCGUGCCUAAUACAUGCAAGUCGAGCGAACGGACGAGAAGCUUGCUUCUCUGAUGUUAGCGGCGGACGGGUGAGUAACACGUGGAUAACCUACCUAUAAGACUGGGAUAACUUCGGGAAACCGGAGCUAAUACCGGAUGAUAUUUUGAACCGCAUGGUUCAAAAGUGAAAGACGGUCUUGCUGUCACUUAUAGAUGGAUCCGCGCUGCAUUAGCUAGUUGGUAAGGUAACGGCUUACCAAGGCAACGAUGCAUAGCCGACCUGAGAGGGUGAUAGGCCACACUGGAACUGAGACACGGUCCAGACUCCUACGGGAGGCAGCAGUAGGGAAUCUUCCGCAAUGGGCGAAAGCCUGACGGAGCAACGCCGCGUGAGUGAUGAAGGUCUUCGGAUCGUAAAACUCUGUUAUUAGGGAAGAACAUAUGUGUAAGUAACUGUGCACAUCUUGACGGCACCUAAUCAGAAAGCCACGGCUAACUACGUG
RNAcentral lists this ribosomal RNA (497 nucleotides) under uncultured bacterium. RNAcentral describes it as "partial 16S ribosomal RNA". It matches the Rfam family "Bacterial small subunit ribosomal RNA", at positions 28 to 507 of the family's 1533-position model. The record is from RNAcentral.